Molecule: ribosomal RNA, 450 nt
Filed under: uncultured bacterium
Lineage: Bacteria
Description: bacterial SSU rRNA
Rfam family: Bacterial small subunit ribosomal RNA
Source: RNAcentral
GUCGAACGGCAGCACGGGGGCAACCCUGGUGGCGAGUGGCGAACGGGUGAGUAAUGCAUCGGAACGUGCCCAUCGAUGGGGGAUAACUGCGCGAAAGCGUUGCUAAUACCGCAUACGACCUACGGGUGAAAGCAGGGGACCGCAAGGCCUUGCGUCGAUGGAGCGGCCGAUGCCGGAUUAGCUAGUUGGUGAGGUAAAGGCUCACCAAGGCGACGAUCCCGUAGCUGGUCUGAGAGGACGACCAGCCACACUGGGACUGAGACACGGCCCAGACUCCUACGGGAGGCAGCAGUGGGGAAUCUUGGACAAUGGGCGAAAGCCUGAUCCAGCAUGCCGCGUGUGGGAAGAAGGCCUCGGGUUGUAAACCACUUUUGGCGGGAAAGAAAUGGUCUGUGCUAAUACCACGGAUUGAUGACGGUACCCGCAGAAUAAGCACCGGCUAACUACGUG